This 611-nucleotide ribosomal RNA is filed under the name uncultured marine bacterium. RNAcentral describes it as "bacterial SSU rRNA". It matches the Rfam family "Bacterial small subunit ribosomal RNA", at positions 879 to 1501 of the family's 1533-position model. The record is from RNAcentral.
AGUACGUUCGCAAGAAUGAAACUCAAAGGAAUUGACGGGGGCCCGCACAAGCGGAGGAGCAUGUGGUUAAAUUCGAUGAUACGCGAGGAACCUUACCAAGGCUUAAAUGUAAUAUGACCGGUUGAGAGAUCAACCUUUUUUCGAACAGAUUACAAGGUGCUGCAUGGUUGUCGUCAGCUCGUGCCGUGAGGUGUCGGGUUAAGUCCCAUAACGAGCGCAACCCCUAUUUUUAGUUACCAGCGAUUAAUGUCGGGAACUCUAGAAAAACUGCCUGUGCAAACAGAGAGGAAGGUGGGGAUGACGUCAAAUCAUCACGGCCCUUAUGUCUUGGGCUACACACGUGCUACAAUGGUUACUACAAUGUGAUGCCAUCUGGUGACAGAGAGCUAAUCAAUAAAGGUAAUCUCAGUUCGGAUUGGAGUCUGCAACUCGACUCUAUGAAGUUGGAUUCGCUAGUAAUCGUAUAUCAGCCAUGAUACGGUGAAUACGUUCCCAGGCCUUGUACACACCGCCCGUCAAGCCAUGGAAGUUUGGGGUACCUGAAGUCAGUAACCGCAAGGAACUGCCUAGGGUAAAACAAAUAACUAGGGCUAAGUCGUAACAAGGUAACC